UACGUAGGGUGCGAGCGUUAAUCGGAAUUACUGGGCGUAAAGCGUGCGCAGGCGGUUUUGUAAGCCAGAUGUGAAAUCCCCGGGCUCAACCUGGGAAUGGCAUUUGGGACUGCAAGGCUGGAGUGCGGCAGAGGAGACUGGAAUUCCUGGUGUAGCAGUGAAAUGCGUAGAUAUCAGGAGGAAUACCGAUGGCGAAGGCAGGUCUCUGGGCUGACACUGACGCUCAUGCACCGAAAGCGUGGGGAGCAAACAGG
RNAcentral lists this ribosomal RNA (254 nucleotides) under uncultured bacterium. RNAcentral describes it as "partial 16S ribosomal RNA". It matches the Rfam family "Bacterial small subunit ribosomal RNA", at positions 524 to 776 of the family's 1533-position model. The record is from RNAcentral.